GAUUUUUAGUUGAGAGUGGAACGCGUUUCGAUUUGGUUGUCGUUAGUUUAAGUUCCAACUAGCGACUUAGCACCCCCAAACCCCCUUACCGCCGACCACCCCUUUAUUUUUGUAAUAGUUGCAAAAAAAUACAUAUAUAUUUAUAUGUAUAUAUUUCGAAGUGUUUUGUGCAAAAUUUUAAAAAUAAAUGCAUACAUAAAAAUAAAAAUAUGUAAUUUUAUGUAAGUGCAUGUGUUUGUGUGUGUGUAUCCAUGGAUCGCAUUCAAAUAUGGGAAGGGGAAGUGAUUUGUGCGCGGCAAAUGUUUUUGCAGUUAACGUCGCUGUCGCCGUCGCCGUCGCUUUUAGUUCUUUGAACUCGCGACGUUUUUCGAGCAAUGCCGACGUCAACGUCAACGACGCCGCUGCCGACGCCCAUGUGCAGCAGCAGCAUCAGCAUUACUGAAAAAUGUGUAACAAAAACAAAGUCACAUUAUUGUUCGUCUCGACGUUGACUUUGAUAAUGCGACGAGAAAGAGAGAGAAGGAGAGGCAGCAGCAGCAGCAGUGUGACUGAAGGAGUAGGAGUGGGAGUGGGAGGAGGAGUAGGCAGUGGCCAAUCAGUUAUUGGCCUGCCGUGUGUGGAGCAGAGCAGAGCUUUAAUGAGCAUUGAACUGCAAAUGACACAAUCAGUGUAUGCGAUGUGACAGACAGAGACAGAAUGCACUGGAGUGCGUUUCCCUCACACGCAUACAUGUAAAUGAUUACGCAAACUCAAAGAGAUAGUUGCAUACAUAUUUCCAGCUCGAAUGAAAUUUGUUUGAUUUGCCCUGACAUUUGAACAAGUAUUCGAAUAUGAAUACGAGUGCGGAACUAACGAAUCACAAUAAAAGGCUAUAUUAAAGGUUGAUAUUAUGUCUGCAUUAUUUUGAAAGUCGAAUCUUAAUGGAAAAUGGAUAAUGGAUAAUGCAUCGCACUAACGGAAGAUUUUACCAAGUACAUAAAGAAUUAGAGAGCCUGAAUGUUUACUUGAACUAUAAAUAAAUACAUUGUGAAAUUAAAAUAAUUUCUAAUAAAUGUAUAAAAUCAA
Molecule: long non-coding RNA, 1065 nt
Organism: Drosophila innubila
Lineage: Eukaryota; Metazoa; Arthropoda; Insecta; Diptera; Drosophilidae
Exons: 4
Source: RefSeq, a predicted model, not a curated record